AUCAAUCGAGCUUUCAUAUUCAUGAAUCAGCAUUUUCAACUGAAUCAUCGCAGUGUCGGAGAAACAAUUAGCUUGAGGUCUCUUAGAAAUGCACUGUCGAGCCUUUGUGUGUCUUCCCAUGCAUCUCAAAGACUCGAACACUGUCUCUAUGUCACGUUUCUUUUGUGCAUGACGUUCUUUUCUUACG
This is a long non-coding RNA of Populus euphratica (Euphrates poplar), 187 nucleotides long. RefSeq lists it as uncharacterized. The transcript is spliced from 2 exons. NCBI's taxonomy places the organism in Eukaryota, Viridiplantae, Streptophyta, Magnoliopsida, Malpighiales, Salicaceae. The record is from RefSeq and is a predicted model, not a curated record.